Molecule: ribosomal RNA, 775 nt
Filed under: Teinopalpus imperialis
Lineage: Eukaryota; Metazoa; Arthropoda; Insecta; Lepidoptera; Papilionidae
Description: 12S ribosomal RNA
Source: RNAcentral
UUCUUUCUAGAAACACUUUCCAGUACUUCUACUUUGUUACGACUUAUUUCAAUUUAUAUAUGAAAGCGACGGGCAAUAUGUACAUAUUUUAAUUUAUAAUCAUUUUAAUAAAUUAAAUAAAAUUACAUUUAAAUCCAUUUUCAAAUAUUUAUUAAACAAUAAUAUCCAUUUAUUUAUUAUAUAUUGUAAUCCAUUAUAUUCUUAAUUAUAAUCUGCAUCUUGAUCUGAACUAAUUUAUAUUUAUAAUUUUAAAAUAUUAUUUUUAUUAGAAAAUAUUUUUUUAACAACGAUAUACAAAAUUCAUAAAUUAAGUAAAUUUAUUCGUGGAUUAUCAAUUAUUAAACAGAUUCCUCUAAAUGAACUAAAAUACCGCCAAAUUAUUUAAGUUUUUAUAAAUUAUUAUAUACUAAUUUAGUAUUAUUAAUUUAAUUUUUAAUAAUAGGGUAUCUAAUCCUAGUUUUUUUCAAAAUUUAAUAAAUCAUAUAAUUAAUUAAAAUUUUUAUUAAAUUAAAAUUUUACCUAAUAAAUUAAUAUUUAAUUUUUAUCUUAUUAUAUUAAUUAUUCACUAAUAAAAUUUAAAUUAUUAUUUGUAUAACCGCAACUGCUGGCACAAAAUUUGUUAAUAAAUAUAAAUAUUACUAAAUCUUAAUUUCUUAAAUUUAUAAUUUUAAUUACUACCAAUUUUUUUUAAAAAUUAUUAAAAUAAUUAAAAAUUAACACUAAAAUUUAUAUGUAAAAUAAAUUUAAAUUAAAUUUUUUAAAUCACAAAAUUUAU